This 200-nucleotide ribosomal RNA is filed under the name uncultured archaeon. RNAcentral's name for it is "partial 16S ribosomal RNA". It matches the Rfam family "Archaeal small subunit ribosomal RNA", at positions 542 to 742 of the family's 1478-position model. The record is from RNAcentral.
UUGGGAAAUCACGCGCUCAACGCGUGGGCGUCCAGCGGAAACUGCCUGGCUUGGGGCCGGAGGACUCGAGGGGUACGUCCGGGGUAGGAGUGAAAUCCCGUAAUCCUGGACGGACCACCGGUGGCGAAAGCGCCUCGAGAGGACGGACCCGACAGUGAGGGACGAAAGCCAAGGUCUCGAACCGGAUUAGAUACCCGGGU